GAGAAAACCAUGGUUGCAGAGGCAACACAUCCUUUCCUUGAACAGUGUGCACUUGAGGAACGAAUUAAGACCCGUAAACAAGGAUGAAAGCCCCCGCCCCGCAGACUUCAGCUCCUCCUCCAUGAAGGACGCCGCCUGGGAGGUGAGUCCAGGCCGGGCCAGGGAGGGCCUCCUGUGGGAAGGUGCAUUUUCACCUUACAGCCGGGAAGUAGACAGCUGCGUCACAGUUUCACUCAUGCCGGUCUCUUCCUGUGCACAUUCAAUGUUAACAUUAUUCUGGCAAAAGCCUUGCUGCAGAUAGUCUCUCCGGUCCCUCCUACAUCUCUUUCCAGAAGACAGUUUAAAAGGACACAUUUCAUCACCUCUCAGAAGGGGUUAACAUCACAGAAUUCCAAGUCUGAGGGUGGAGCCCUGAUCCUGAGAAGGUUUUGUUGAGUUCGGGACAGUAUUUCUUUACCCAUCCUUCAUGAAGAUAAAAAAUGAGGCAAAAUAGACACUAAAAUGGUCUCUGACAUCUCCUCAUGCCACCAGACAAGGAGUAACCAUGGUAACAAGAAGCCUAGAAAAAUUGGGGAAUGAGGAAGACCAGGAAUGAGAGCUCCCCUCAGCCCUGGGGGGACCUGAGUGUCCACAGCUGAGCCUUCUCUGCUUCCCUUUUCUCUUCUGGAUUCUGAUGGAGGAUAUUUUCAUCUUCCUCCCAAAAUCAUCAGAAAGCAUAAGGACAUAUAUAAACCGCUUUGCAAAAAGAGAGUGUAUGGAAUAAAAGAGAAAAUGAAGAAGAGGAGAAAGGCUGGAGUGCAAUGGUGUGAUCUCAGCUCACUGCAGCCUCAACCUCCCUGGCUCAGGUGAUUCUCCCACCUCAGCUUCCUGAUUAACUGGGAUUACAGUAAUGGUGAAAUUGCCGGUAAUCGCUAAGUAAAAACCACUGAAGAACAGGACAGAAGCCAAUGACCACCUCACCUCCACCGAGUGCCCUGCAGAAAAAGGAAAUGGAAAUCCUUCCUGUUAUUCUCCGCGUCCCUUCGUAGAAGGCUGCCUGAGAGGUCAGCACAGGAGUCCUCUAAGUGCCCUGCAGAGAACACGGGUCUCGGAGCCGGACAAACCUAAAUUUUGAAACCCACUUUGAGUUUGAACUUGGCUGUGGGAAAGUUACACAAUCGCUCUAAGCCUCUGUUUUCUCAUCAGUAAAACAGAGAGGGGUUGCUUGUGUGAGAAGUGGCCGCUGCCAAUCAUCUGCGUGUCCUUCACUCUCCCAGGGGCCAUGGGUCUGUAUUCUACACAUGUGGGAUCUUCCUCUGGACCCUUCGGACAUGGUCCACACGCUGCCCUCAGGAUCUGCUGGGGUCUGCAUGGGGGAAAGGAUGGUUUCCUUGAAGUCUAGAAAAUUUUGUUCCAGUCCAUUUCAACGGUGCAGGAGAAACGUGGCUUCCAUUCCGAGGAAGACGGCGACACCUAGUGACCGUUCCCUCGCGGUGCGAUGGCCUCACACCUGUGCGGCGGGUCGUCCGGGGCGUAGGGUGCUGCGGCCUUGCGGUCUUCCCUGCGCUGCAAGGCAGGGCAUGGUGGCAGAUUAACACCUGGAUGAACACGGGCAGGUCAGGAGACAAAUAAAACCCAGAGGUCUUUGAAACUUCAAAAUCCCGUAGGGUGUGUGACCCCAGUGAGCCCCACGCUACAUCCAGCGAGAACCGAGAAGUGAUGGUGCAGACAUUCUUGGGUCCCCCAGACAGAACACACCGGGAGUUACUGCCUCUUUCUCAUCCCGAGUCCUCCUGACUUUCCCCAGCACCCAUCGUGGCUGCAGCCAGGACACAGAGCCACUGUACCCGUGUGCACCUGUGCUCUGAGACCUGGAUACCCCUGGAAGGACAGACACCGAGGACCCGAGUGCACUGGAGUCCCGCUCCCACAGAUCCUGCUGCUGGGAGAACUGUCAGCCAGGAACGGGACUGCGGUGGGGAAUUCCUUCUGUCAACACACUUUCUAAUCUAAGCUCCAGACUCCACUUCCAGACUAGCACAGGCUUUUUCCCCCACAUCUCCUUCUCUGCAGCCGGGGCUCCUGCCGGGUCUGCGGAGCCCAGAGCCAUGCUCUCUGCCGACUCCAUCUCCAGAUGCCUGCCCCGGCACCCACGCUGUUGCCAGGACACCAGUGAACCCAGACAGGGAGCUGGGAGAUGGGAACAUCACUAGACCACGAGCCGGAAUUGCUGCAGGAGGAUUCCCACACUCUGGGCCUCCGUGGGCACCACGAGGACUGGACGUGCGACCCCAGCUCUCUGGGUCUCAGUUUCGUCUCCUGCAGAGCAUCUGAGCUAGACCGUCUCUAAAAUUUCAUCAAGCUCCUGUAUUCCAUUCUAUU
Molecule: long non-coding RNA, 2361 nt
Organism: Homo sapiens (human)
Lineage: Eukaryota; Metazoa; Chordata; Mammalia; Primates; Hominidae
Product: long intergenic non-protein coding RNA 2668
Source: Ensembl